This is a small nucleolar RNA of Jaculus jaculus (lesser Egyptian jerboa), 131 nucleotides long. RefSeq annotates it as small nucleolar RNA SNORA33. NCBI's taxonomy places the organism in Eukaryota, Metazoa, Chordata, Mammalia, Rodentia, Dipodidae. The transcript has a single exon. The record is from RefSeq and is a predicted model, not a curated record.
UAGCCAGCCAAUUAAUUUGCUUAUGUGAAGGUAUUUCUGCAGAAAGUUAGAAACAACUGGCAAUAGUGAUGCCACUUUAUGAGCCUUAAGGACAACUGAGGUUACUACUGUCCCUCAAAAUGGCUACGAUA